GACGAACGCUGGCGGCGUGCCUAAUACAUGCAAGUUGAGCGCUGAAGGUUGGUACUUUUACCGACUGGAUGAGCAGCGAACGGGUGAGUAACGCGUGGGUAAUCUGCCUUUGAGCGGGGGACAACAUUUGGAAACGAAUUCUAAUACCGCAUAAAAACUUUAAACACAAGUUUUAAGUUUGAAAGAUGCAAUUGCUUCACUCAAAGAUGAUCCCGCGUUGUAUUAGCUAGUUGGUGAGGUAAAGGCUCACCAAGGCGAUGAUACAUAGCCUACCUGAGAGGGUGAUCGGCCACAUUGGGACUGAGACACGGCCCAAACUCCUACGGGAAGCAGCAGGAGGGAAUCUUCGGCAAUGGACGAAAGUCUGAACGAGCAACGCCGCGUGAGUGAAGAAGGGUUUCGGAUCGUAAAACUCUGUUGGUAGAGAAGAAAGUUGGUGAGAGUGGAAAGCUCAUCAAGUGGCGGUAACUACCCAGAAAGGGACGGCUAACUACGUG
This 497-nucleotide ribosomal RNA is filed under the name uncultured bacterium. Its description in RNAcentral is "partial 16S ribosomal RNA". It matches the Rfam family "Bacterial small subunit ribosomal RNA", at positions 28 to 507 of the family's 1533-position model. The record is from RNAcentral.